AGUAUUCGAAAGAGUAUCGCAAUUGAGAGUGUGAGAAUAUUGAAUUUUAAGUUUUCAAUAAAUCAAUGAUCUGCAUAGAAGGGUCGUGCCCCCUUUAAUAGUGCAGAAAGUAAGUAAGAAAAGUAAGGAAAUAUUCAGUAAAAUCAAUCUCCCUUUAGUUAGGAUUCUAAUUUCAAUGGGUAAAACCAAUUAAGGAAAGGGUUUUUUGAUUAAAACCUUUUCAAAGUAGCACAAAAUGGGUAAAUACAUAGAAAUCAUUUAAGGAAAGCAUUCAAUGGUACACAGUUUGUGACAAAUAUGGAAAGGAGUCAAUCAACAGCCAAUAAAAAAAUCAGAAAUUGAGUUUUGCUAUGAAUGAAUCUGACCAUGAAAGGUGAGCAAAGGUUUAAUUAAAGAAAAUCAAUAACAAUCAAACAACCUUAUUAAAAGGAACUUUGAAUCAAUCACAAAUUGGUAAAACCCUUUUGAAGGAAGAAUCUCUCAUAUAUAAAGCAUACAGACAUGUCAAAUAAGAAAGAACUGUCAAGCUAAUUAGAAAGAAUCUAGUAUAGAAAUGUUCAGAGUCACAAACAAAGAGGCUUGAAACCAGUACUUAGGCUCGGACUUAGUUUGAGAGAAUACAGGGUCCAUAAUAGAACCCUAGUCCAAAUACAAGACCAAACUCGCCAAAAAACCCCAAAUCCUAGGGUUUUCAACUUGAGUCAGAUGUAGAGACAAGAAGGCAAAUAACUGAAACAGAUUCAGAAAUCUCUUUCAGAGACUCACGAGAAAACAAACAGGUAAAAUAGUAGCUUCGAAACAACCAUAGUGUAAGAGCUGAUUUGAAGCAUAAAGAACAUAUUUUAGAACGCUUGGAACUUAACAAGUUAAGAGGACAAAAAGGUAGUAUAAACUUAAGGAAAUAGUAGAUGAAAUAUGUCUAGAAAGAACUUCAGACAAAGUUCAGAAGAAGGCAAAUAAAGAACUUGUCACACUUAGUAGAAAAAAUACAGUAGAAGAACACCAAAACAUAGUAAAAAACAUAUAGAAGAACAUAGUAAGAUAGUCAUACAAGAUCAUGGUAGAAGGAAGAAUACAAGAAUACAGUAGGAGCAAGUACACGUAAAGGAAAAGGAAGGCCAGAAAUCACUUAAACAUUUUAGAAAACCAUAGAUCGGAAAAGAAAGAUCUUUAAAAAAGAAUAUUUCAAAGAAAAAUUGGGGAAAUCGUUUGAAAACUCAAGUGGAGCAUAGAUACAUGACAGAUCUAAGGAAAGAAAAUCAUAAAGAACCCCGAAUAGCCAUGGAUUGCAGAGAAAACCCUAGAAAUGAGAAAGGUCUUGAGGAAAGUCUGAUCCUGAGUCGAAAAGACUCAUAUUACUCGAAUAUGCCAGAGUAAUGGCCAAAGAAGACAUAGAUCUAUAGAUCAAAGAAGAUCUGAAAGGGAACCAUCAAGUUCAAGACCCUGAUUCUUUAAAUAUCAAGCACACAUGAGUAAUAGAUGGUGAGUAUGAGGUUAUCAUGACCGGAGUAGUCAUGAUUUUCGGUGAGCUCGAGGUAGGAGACUGUGAGAUAGGCUAGAGUUUCGAGAGGGUUAGAGAGAAUUUGGAAAGGAGAGGGAUUUCAGAGGUGGCAGAUGAGUAAAAGUGAGGGAAUUAGGAUAGUGAUUUGGAAUUAAUUACAGAAGCAGAGCAAUGGCCGGAGAAGCUAUAGAUCCAAAGAUCUGAGAAGAUCAGAAAGAGAGCCAUCGAGGUCAAGGCUUUGGUUCUUCGAAUAUUGAGAACAUAUGAGUAAUAGAGGGUGAGUAUGAGUUUAUCACGACCGGAAUGGCCAUGAUUUUCGGUGAGCUUGAGGUAGGCAAUAGUGAGAUAGGCUAGGGUUUCGAGAGGGUUUGAGAGAGUCCUAAGAGAUCAGAG
RNAcentral lists this long non-coding RNA (1894 nucleotides) under Nicotiana benthamiana. RNAcentral's name for it is "long non-coding RNA (NBEN_LNC034113)". Lineage: Eukaryota; Viridiplantae; Streptophyta; Magnoliopsida; Solanales; Solanaceae. The record is from RNAcentral.